UGAGGGAAAUGAAGACGACGA
Molecule: microRNA, 21 nt
Filed under: Glycine max (soybean)
Lineage: Eukaryota; Viridiplantae; Streptophyta; Magnoliopsida; Fabales; Fabaceae
Description: gma-miR5769
Source: miRBase by way of RNAcentral